GAUGAACGCUGGCGGCGUGCCUAAUACAUGCAAGUCGAGCGAACGGACGAGAAGCUUGCUUCUCUGAUGUUAGCGGCGGACGGGUGAGUAACACGUGGAUAACCUACCUAUAAGACUGGGAUAACUUCGGGAAACCGGAGCUAAUCCCGGAUAAUCUUUUGAACCGCAUGGGUCAAAAGUGAAAGACGGUCUUGCUGUCACUUAUAGAUGGAUCCGCGCUGCAUUAGCUAGUUGGUAAGGUAACGGCUUACCAAGGCAACGAUGCAUAGCCGACGUGAGAGGGUGAUCGGCCACACUGGAACGGAGACACGGUCCAGACUCCUACGGGAGGCAGCAGUAGGGAAUCUUCCGCAAUGGGCGAAAGCCUGACGGAGCAACGCCGCGUGAGUGAUGAAGGUGUUCGGAUCGUAAAACUCUGUUAUUAGGGAAGAACAGAUGUGUAAGUAACUGUGCACAGCUUGACGGUACCUAAUCAGAAAGCCACGGCUAACUACGUG
This 497-nucleotide ribosomal RNA is filed under the name uncultured bacterium. RNAcentral's name for it is "partial 16S ribosomal RNA". It matches the Rfam family "Bacterial small subunit ribosomal RNA", at positions 28 to 507 of the family's 1533-position model. The record is from RNAcentral.